GCCUGGGUGGCUCAGUCAGUUAAGCGUCUGACUUUGGCUCAGGUCAUGAUCUCACGGUUUGUGGGUUCGAGCCCCGCGUUGGGCU
RNAcentral lists this transfer RNA (85 nucleotides) under Felis catus (domestic cat). It matches the Rfam family "tRNA". From Rfam's summary of the family: Transfer RNA (tRNA) molecules are approximately 80 nucleotides in length. Their secondary structure includes four short double-helical elements and three loops (D, anti-codon, and T loops). Further hydrogen bonds mediate the characteristic L-shaped molecular structure. tRNAs have two regions of fundamental functional importance: the anti-codon, which is responsible for specific mRNA codon recognition, and the 3' end, to which the tRNAs corresponding amino acid is attached (by aminoacyl-tRNA synthetases). tRNAs cope with the degeneracy of the genetic code in two manners: having more than one tRNA (with a specific anti-codon) for a particular amino acid; and 'wobble' base-pairing, i.e. permitting non-standard base-pairing at the 3rd anti-codon position. The record is from Rfam by way of RNAcentral. Lineage: Eukaryota; Metazoa; Chordata; Mammalia; Carnivora; Felidae.